This is a non-coding RNA of Paramuricea clavata, 307 nucleotides long. The record is from the annotation of a GenBank genome assembly. Lineage: Eukaryota; Metazoa; Cnidaria; Anthozoa; Malacalcyonacea; Plexauridae.
UUUAUAAUAUAGCAUUUGUAAAUUCUGAACGCUGAUUGGCUAAGAGCCGUGUUGAUAUAACUCCAUGUCAACACGGGAAAUUUUCCGCCGCUUGUAACACGGAAAUUGUUCCUAUUCGUCGGGCUUUUGACAUUGCUAUAUUAUAAAACAAAUAUAAAACAUUUUUUCCGUAUUGAUAUAUAGUUACAUCAACACUCGUGGAAGUUGGGAAAACUCGAAAUUGUGUGAAAACACUCCGCCCUUCGGGCGUCGUGUUUCCACACAAUUUCUCGUUUUCCCAAUUUCCACUCGUGUUGAUAUAACUGUA